UACAGAGGUCUCAAGCGUUGUUCGGAUUCAUUGGGCGUAAAGGGUGCGUAGGCGGCGCGCUAAGUCAGGUGUGAAAUGGCGGGGCUCAACCCCGAAACUGCAUUUGAUACUGGCGUGCUUGAGGACUGGAGAGGAGACUGGAAUUCACGGUGUAGCAGUGAAAUGCGUAGAUAUCGUGAGGAAGACCAGUGGCGAAGGCGGGUCUCUGGACAGUUCCUGACACUGAGGCACGAAGGCCAGGGGAGCAAACGGG
This 253-nucleotide ribosomal RNA is filed under the name uncultured bacterium. RNAcentral's name for it is "partial 16S ribosomal RNA". It matches the Rfam family "Bacterial small subunit ribosomal RNA", at positions 524 to 776 of the family's 1533-position model. The record is from RNAcentral.